Molecule: small nuclear RNA, 104 nt
Filed under: Trichobilharzia regenti
Lineage: Eukaryota; Metazoa; Platyhelminthes; Trematoda; Strigeidida; Schistosomatidae
Source: RNAcentral
AUACAUGUAGGGUACAUAUACUAAAAUUGGAACGUUACAGAGAAGAUUAGCAUAGCCCCCUGUGUAAGGAUGACACAAAGAAUCGUGAAGUGUUUCAUAUUUUU